Long non-coding RNA from Columba livia (rock pigeon), 1953 nucleotides. RefSeq lists it as uncharacterized. The record is from RefSeq and is a predicted model, not a curated record. Lineage: Eukaryota; Metazoa; Chordata; Aves; Columbiformes; Columbidae. The transcript has 2 exons.
GGAAAGGGAAAGGGAAAGGAGGUGCACAGAGAUAAAACGCAAUGAAAUGCCUCAGGCAGCACAGCAUAUCGUUUGCACAGGCAGGUCAUUAGGAAAAAAGAAAAUACUAUAUAUGUAUAUAAGGUGAGAACUCAGACAGGCUUCAGUGACCGUGAGAGCUUCCCUCUCCAUGGCGUGACAUACAGGGUGGUUAUUCCAGGACGCGGAGGGAGUGAAGUUGUGAAUAAACGAUGCUCUGGAGCCAAGUGACAGGUUGACGGCGUAACAUCCCGCAGACAGACAACACAACUUGCUGAACGCCGUCCAACACGGCCACUUCGGGAUGACGAGGGACAGAAAAGCCCUGGGAACAGCAUCUCCCCCCCACAGGAACCAUCUCCCACCACAACCCCCAGAGGACCUGCAGCCGCUGGGCCUCAGGACCACCCCGCCCAGGACACCAGGACGGGCUCUCCGCCUCGCCGGGGAGCGGCAAUGGCGAAAAUAAAGGGAAAAUAAAUGAAUACAGGGGCCGGAGGACGGCGGCGAAGCGACCCGGCCGCCACCGGGCCCAGCCGGCCCCCGCCCGCCGCCGCGGCCCAGCCGGGCCAGGCCCCGGGCCCCGCUCCCCGCCCGCCGCCGCCCGCCCUCGGGCCCCGGCCCAGCCCGCGCCCGGGCCCCCCUCACCUGCUCGGCCGCUCCGCGGCGAACUCGGCCCCGCCGGACUCCGCCAUGUUCGCUGAGCUGGGAGGCGGCGGCAGCCGCCGCGUUAAAGGCGCAGGAGCGAGCGCGGCCCGCGGCGGGAACCGGGGAGCUGCUCCGCGCCCGCCGGGCCUGGCGCCGCCCCGCCGCCACCGGGGCCCUCACCCGGUCGCCGCCCCGGGGCAUGGCGGCUGUCGCUGCCCAACGGCCCCGGGGGCGCUGAGGGGGGUCUGUCACCUCCCCGCGGCGGAGGGGACCCGGGGGAUGUCACCAUCUGAUAGAUGUGGAGCCCUAAAUCUGUCACCUCCCCACGGCCACAGGGUCGCUGAGGGUUGUCACUGCCCCAUGGCUGAGAGGAUUUGGCGUCUGUCCCCAUCCCUUGGCUGAGGGAUCCCGGGGGCUGUAACCUCCCCAUGGUGGAGGGGACCUGGGGGGUGUCAUCACCCAGCUGAGGGGACCCCAGGGCUGUCACCUCCCCAUGACUGUGACUGCCCCACGGCUGAGGGGGCAUGUCAUAGAUGUCUGUCCCCAUCCCCUGGCUGAGGGGUGCCCGUGUCUGUCACCUCCCCAUGGCUGAGGGGAUCUGCGCAGGUCUGUCACUGCCUCAUGGCUCAGAGGUCCCCGGGGUCUGUCACCUCCCCACAGCUGUGACUGCCCCACGGCUGAGAGGUCCAGGGGGUUGUCACCAUCUGAUGUAGAGCCCUGGGGUCUGUCACCUCCCCACGGCCACAGGGUGGCUGAGGGUUGUCACUCCCCCAUGGCUGCGAGGAUUUGAGGUCUGUCCCCAUCCCUUGGCUGAGGGGUCCCGGGGGCUGUCACCACCCCACAGGCCACCAUGGGCCUCUUCACGCCAUCACUCUCCAGCUGACCAUCAUCCAGCACCAGCCAAUGGCCCCCGCCCGUGUCCCGCACCCGAACACUUGAUUUUCCCCUCAGGAUUCCAUAUGUGACUCAUUAAUUGUUUCCUGCAGGGACGACCAUGUGUGCAACCAGCCCGGGACUGUGGGGACAACCCUGCUCCUCAUCACCCUGGGGACAACGGCUCCUGCCACACCAUCCGGACCAUUAUGGACCAGGUUUUAUUGCCACAAACGCUUUGUGCAAGAGCAGCAGUACCCUCCAGAGGGUGCAGUCUUGUCGUCAGUCCUCCGGCUGCACCCUCUCGGUGCCAAAGAUGCCUUCGCUGUGUCCCCGUUCAUGGUCGGCAUCGGAGUCGCUCCCGGCUCUCCCCAAAGCGACCGGCGGAGCCGAGGCCAGAGCAUCGCGGGGUCC